CUCCCUUAAUCUUACUGAGUGGAUCUUUUAAGUCUUCUUUACUGGAUACUGGUUAUAUUGUAGGAAGUUAUCAACACUAUGAUGCUUUAUAUUAGAAAAGGAAAUGCAUUUACCCCUUAAACACGUCUCCAGCUUGUGUUUCCAUCCAACCUGCUGUCAGGUCUUCUUCCUUUUUCUACCUGUCAGCAGACAAACAGUAAGUAAGCGCUGCUACCACCUGCAGGAGGGGAGUAGGAAACGUUAUGGCAACGAAAUAUUUAAUUUAAAUAAUUGAUACUCAUUUUGAGACAAAGACACAAUUAAUUAUCGCGUAUAAUCCCUGAAAUAUUUAGCAUAGCUAGAAAUGUCACAAUUCACCAUUUAGAAUGUUAGCUCGAUGCUAAUCCGUUAUGGGGUUUACUAUUUCCGUGCUGACGGAAAUUAGCAUCGCGUCCGCUGGUAAUGAUCAUCUUCAACACUGCAAAGCCGCGUGUGUAAUUCAUCUUACGAAACGUGGAGAAAGACGUUGUGCUCCGGCAUGAAAUGGGUCCUGGACGACCUCCAAGAUGUCACCUCGCCUCCACCAUUAUCGAUGCGCCACCUGUCAUAUACAAACACGCUUCAAUGCCUAAUCAAGACCAUUCACUUUCUCCCCUCCAUGCCUCCUGCUGCAGAAUCCAAACCCGCCUUUUUCCUUCACCAACUAUUUGUUGCUCGGGGUGCCCUCAAGGUUACCGGCUGCUCACGUCCCAGCGUAGUUAGUAAGUAAGCUGUGGGUUUGACAGAAUGGGUCACGUCAGAGCCAAGUGGGACGUUAUUACAUCAUCAAGCGUUGUACAGCUGACAACCUAAUGCUUCUAUGAAAUUAAAGUGACAGCAAUCAGCAGCUUGUUUCGCAUCACUCUCACUUCCUGUCGUCUGCGGGACUGGAACUACUUUAAACUGUAACUACACAAACAUCAUAUCUGCACUGCACCUUAAAGCCAGCCGAUCAGUCUGAGGAUGCAGGAUACACACACGUACACACACCUGACCCAUUUCAUGAAGUAUGAUUGAGAACAACAUGAAAAGUCCCGAGCUGCCAAACCUGCCGACCCUCAGCAGGUUUGCCAGGAGCAGUGAGCGGAGGAGAGCAGGUGCAGCAGACAUUAAGACUCGUAAUAAGCGGCGAUGAUGAACCCGGGGGAGGGGGAGGGGGGUCAUGCGUGGACAGGAGAAAGGACGGAAGCAGGAAGCGCUGACGCCAGUUGUUACCUUGAGGUGGCAAUCAAUGCCACGGCUGCCGGAAGCUUAACCGGGGCGAUUUGCACCCCUGUCAGGGCCGCGCGGCCUCCGAAUCAUCACGCUGAAUAGCCCAGAGGUUGUAAAUCUAAACCGAAGACCAAAGUUGAACCAGUUCAUUUAAAUUAAAUCCAUUAUGCGUUUUAUUGACUGAGCGG
This 1418-nucleotide long non-coding RNA is filed under the name Betta splendens (Siamese fighting fish). RNAcentral describes it as "lncRNA (ENSBSLG00000011921.1)". Lineage: Eukaryota; Metazoa; Chordata; Actinopteri; Anabantiformes; Osphronemidae. The record is from RNAcentral.